This 349-nucleotide long non-coding RNA is filed under the name Vulpes vulpes (red fox). RNAcentral's name for it is "lncRNA (ENSVVUG00000014928.1)". Lineage: Eukaryota; Metazoa; Chordata; Mammalia; Carnivora; Canidae. The record is from RNAcentral.
AAGGACUUCUUUCAGGGGUGAGUUCUAUGCCUCAUCACCUUGCAUUUCUUCUUCUUUUCUCCCUUUCCCCCUCACUCUAGAUGUACUGAUGAAGUCUGCAUUCUGGAGAAAAUGAGCAAAGCGAAAUGAAGCAGAGAUGAAGCUCAGUCCUGACCCAUGGAAUGCAGAGGAAGCCUCGGGAAUCGAGCUGGCCAGGAUGUCAGAAGCCAGCCUGCGACGUCCAGAGAAUCCACAGCCCAGGGAGCUCUAACAGACACACCUGCCGCAGACAGGUCAGCAGGGAACUGGACUGCAGGGGUUGGGGAGAAGGCGAAAGAGGGAUGGGGGUGGAGAGGAGGAAGGGAGAGUC